RNAcentral lists this ribosomal RNA (301 nucleotides) under uncultured bacterium. Its description in RNAcentral is "partial 16S ribosomal RNA". It matches the Rfam family "Bacterial small subunit ribosomal RNA", at positions 509 to 807 of the family's 1533-position model. The record is from RNAcentral.
CAGCCGCCGCGGUAAAACGUAGGGUGCAAGCGUUGAUCGGAAUUACUGGGCGUAAAGCGCGCGCAGGCGGUUCGUUAAGACAGAUGUGAAAUCCCCGGGCUUAACCUGGGAACUGCAUUUGUGACUGGCGGGCUAGAGUAUGGCAGAGGGGGGUAGAAUUCCACGUGUAGCAGUGAAAUGCGUAGAGAUGUGGAGGAAUACCGAUGGCGAAGGCAGCCCCCUGGGCCAAUACUGACGCUCAUGCACGAAAGCGUGGGGAGCAAACAGGAUUAGAUACCCGAGUAGUCCCUGUCUCUUAUAC